UGUCUGCAUAGUUUAACCAAAACACUAGACUGUGAACCUAGAAAUAGAAAGUAUUCUUGCAAACC
This 65-nucleotide transfer RNA is filed under the name Proctoporus sp. Ca MNCN23305. Its description in RNAcentral is "tRNA-His". It matches the Rfam family "tRNA". From Rfam's summary of the family: Transfer RNA (tRNA) molecules are approximately 80 nucleotides in length. The record is from RNAcentral. Lineage: Eukaryota; Metazoa; Chordata; Lepidosauria; Squamata; Gymnophthalmidae.